AUUGAACGCUGGCGGCAGGCCUAACACAUGCAAGUCGAGCGAGCGGCGGACGGGUGAGUAAUGUCUGGGAAACUGCCUGAUGGAGGGGGAUAACGACUGGAAACGGUAUCUAAUACCGCAUACCAUCAGAUGUGCCCAGAUGGGAUUAGCUAGUAGGUGGGGUAACGGCGCACCUAGGCGACGAUCCCUAGCUGGUCUGAGAGGAUGACCAGCAACACGGGAACGGAGACAAGGUCCAGACUCCGACGGGAGGCAGCAGGGGGGAAUAGUGCACAUGGGGAGAAAGCCUGAUGCAGCCAUGCCGCGUGUAUGAAGAAGGCCUUCGGGUUGUAAAGCACUUUCAGCGGGGAGGCGUUACCCGCAGAAGAAGCACCGGCUAACUCCGUGCCAACAGCCGCGGUAAUUC
RNAcentral lists this ribosomal RNA (406 nucleotides) under uncultured bacterium. RNAcentral describes it as "partial 16S ribosomal RNA". It matches the Rfam family "Bacterial small subunit ribosomal RNA", at positions 29 to 526 of the family's 1533-position model. The record is from RNAcentral.